CCAGACUCCUACGGGAGGCAGCAGUGGGGGAUAUUGCACAAUGGGGGAAACCCUGAUGCAGCGACGCCGCGUGAGUGAAGAAGUAUUUCGGUAUGUAAAGCUCUAUCAGCAGGGAAGAAAAUGACAGUACCUGACCAAGAAGCCCCGGCUAACUACGUGCCAGCAGCCGCGGUAAUACGUAGGGGGCAAGCGUUAUCCGGAUUUACUGGGUGUAAAGGGAGCGUAGGCGGUUAUGUAAGUCUGGAGUGAAAGCCCGGGGCCCAACCCCGGAACUGCUUUGGAAACUGUGUAACUAGAGUGCAGGAGGGGCAGGCGGAAUUCCUGGUGUAGCGGUGAAAUGCGUAGAUAUCAGGAGGAACACCGGCGGCGAAGGCGGCCUGCUGGACGGAAACUGACGUUGAGGCUCGAAAGCGUGGGGAGCAAACAGGAUUAGAUACCCGCGUA
RNAcentral lists this ribosomal RNA (444 nucleotides) under uncultured bacterium. RNAcentral describes it as "bacterial SSU rRNA". It matches the Rfam family "Bacterial small subunit ribosomal RNA", at positions 331 to 792 of the family's 1533-position model. The record is from RNAcentral.